ACACCGAUGGUGAAACGGUUAUCCUGCUUGCCUUCCAUGUGAAUUGGCGUACACGAUGUGUAAGCAAGUGGCAGGGGUUCGACUCCCCUUCGGUGGA
Molecule: non-coding RNA, 97 nt
Organism: Hymenopellis radicata
Lineage: Eukaryota; Fungi; Basidiomycota; Agaricomycetes; Agaricales; Physalacriaceae
Source: the annotation of a GenBank genome assembly